GCUUGCUAAAGUACAGCCAGGAUUUCAUGGCAGAGACCAAAUGCGGAGGUUAGCACACAAACAUGAGAGGAUGAUAUCCAAACAGAGAGCUUGAAAGCAAGAGGAGAGCUGAGGCCACGUCCUGAGUGGCUGUGUGAUCACUGUCACCUUCAGGAGUCCUGGCUAAGGAGAACGGAGAGUAUGACUACUGCAGAUGGAAUGUCCUGGAAGUAGACUCUGAGGUGGUAGAGUGUUCUCUGUAUCAUGUUAAGGGAUCACCCUCACAUAAGUGAGAAGAAGAUGAAGAGAAAAAGAAUCAAAGCCACCUUGUUCAACCCCACUGAUCAGAGUCGACCUUGGCAGCUCUGGUGGCUCUUAGGAUUGUUGUAGGUUGGGUUGAGAUGCUAGAUUUUUCCGCACACAAAAGAGCCAUUGCACACAAAUGUGACCGUCUCCUUAAAUGUCACAGAAUGGCCCAGCAGUUGCUUCUGCAGCUCCACCUCUCUCUGCUGGCAAAACAAAACAUUGAGUUCCUUGAGAAAAGCUGUAACCUCAAAGGCUCUUUCCCUACAGCAUCCCAUGCCAUCCCUGGGCUAGCAGUUCUUCCCACUGUGGAUAGAACAAGUCCACAUUGAUAGAGAAUCUUCAUGGUCCUAUGACUAAAGGCACAGUUGCCCUACAAGAACCGUGAGGCUCAGCCUAGUAUAUACCUCACUGUGUCUUGCAUAUGGCUGACUUGGAGUCAUGGAAUCUAUUUCCAAUCUUUGCAAGAAACCCGAAGAUCCCAGACCAGGCCCAAGCAAAACCAAAGAGACCUAUAUUGGGAUAAAAGAAAAAAGAAAUGGCUUUCUACAUGCAUGGUCAGCGUACAGCUGGCAGCAACUCACCUGGGGUGGACUGUGUCAUCUCAGCGAGAAUCUUUGGAAACUUGUCUCUUCAAUCCAAAUGCUACAAGCUCACAACGUGAAUAUCCUGUUGAGAGAAGCAAGUCUGGCUCCGUUGACAGAAAUGACCCUCUGUGCAGAUGUAAAUUCAGUUUUCAGAUGACCUGCCUGGCUGUGGCUGAGCUCCGUCUCUCAAGAGCCCUUUGGUGCAUGGGAUGUGGGAUGAUGAAUUGCUGGAAGACAUUUUUGUGUCCCCACACCACUCAGGAGCCCCAUAUCACAGCAAAGUCUCCCUUUGAGAUCCUUGGAUUUUUGCAUGGAACAACCGAGGUAGUAGGAAAUAAGGACACAAUCGCAGAUGAAGUCCAGUGUGGUCCAACAGGGACUAGAAACUUCAAAAAUUCUGAUUCUGCUUUGGGGUUGUCUCCACAGCAUCUGGCCCUGAGAUUCAUUAAGAAUGAGUGUAACCAGGCUGGGGAGGUGGCACCAGACACCAAGCCUGACAACUUGAGUCUCAUCCCUGGAAACUACAAGACAGGAAGAGGAAACCAACUCCUGCAGGAAGUCCUCUGACCUCCAAAUGCACACUGUGACAUGUGUAUGCCUGCCUCGCAUACAUACAUACAUGCAUACAUGCAUACAUGCAUACAUACAUACAUGCAUACAUACAUACAUGCAUGCAUGCAUGCAUACAUACAUACAUACAUACAUACAUACAUGAUGUAACAGAAUAUGACAAACUUGUCCAUAUUGCUGUAUUUCAGUGUAUAUAAAUUGCCUCACAAGAGGGAAAAGUCCUUUUGUAGUAGCAGACAUGGACUGUAAGAUCUAUUUUCAUUCUGGAUUUAAAGGAUAGUUGGUGAAGAACAGCCAAUGGCUAGACCACUACCUACUGUUUGAACUUAGGGCAAGUCCAUGUCCUUUGCCGCUAGGAUGUCAGAGGCCCCAGAACCUUGAGGCAUGUCUUCCAGAUGGUUUCUGUAGGCACUCUGAUUAUAAGCUAGGUCUUCGGAUUGUCCUCUAAUUAAGAAAAAGCAUUUAAAAAAUAAAAACCAGAGCUGGCAUAGGUUCUGUAAACAUUUGCCCAUCUCUAUCAUAAGUCUGUCAACGCCUACCUAUUACAUUUUAUCCAGCCCUGUUCAAAUGAAAUCCCAUUCCACUAGAUAUUGGUCACACCGACAUGUGCAGUGAUAUAACAAGCCCAUCCAGUGCACUACGCUCAACCUUCCCGGUUGCCCACACACCAUUUUAUUAUUGCCUUUCAAUACCCCAUGUGAAAUGACCUUCCUCAUCCCCAGCGUGGUGUGAAGUGCAAGAAGAGAACUUGUAUUGUUGUCUUUCAAGGAGAAAUCCUAUAUUUGGAAAAGCUGAAGAAAAAUCCUGCUUAGGUUUUUCUCACUGAUAAGUGCAAGGAAACUGCUAAUUGAGGUCAAAGUCCACCAUGACCAGAUAGCCCCUGGGCUUGGCACAAUAUGGGAGACUCCCUUCACUAACAGGGCUUCUCCUUCUCUGACCUUAUUUGAGGAAUUCUAACCCCCCCCCACAUGUGCCUCUACCAGAGGAAUGUCACGAAGCCUCAAUGGGGUUACAAGUUCAAUUUUCUUUCUCCUGAUAAGGACGUGUUCAGCCAGCACCUGGGAUUCCUAAAAUGCUUCCCCAUGCUAAUGAGGCAUUCCAGGUGCCCUAAGCUCCCAGUCAAUGACCUUUUCCCAUUCUAGAUGUUCUGACCCUCACUCCCCAAAAACUUUAUAAGCCUUGAAUCACCCUAAUCAAAGUUGAUCUGCCUUCUGAUAGCUGGUCCCGGUGUGGUUCUUCACUGUACAUUCUCAAAGGCCUUCCAACCCCCUCUUCCUCAUCUCUGCUCCCACUACCCUUGUGGGCUGAAUUAGCAGGUGACCCUCAAGAGUGGGGAGACCCACACACAAGACCUGUGAGUACUCAAUGGCCUGUUUCUAUGAAAGCCUUGGUGGGGGUUCAGAUUUCUAAACAUAGAGCCAGACAUCAUUCAUACUACAACUGCCUCGCAUU
Molecule: long non-coding RNA, 2891 nt
Filed under: Mus musculus (house mouse)
Lineage: Eukaryota; Metazoa; Chordata; Mammalia; Rodentia; Muridae
Description: predicted gene, 48767
Source: RNAcentral